GCUCAGGCUCAGGCUCAGCCGCGGGCGGGCGAGCGGGCGCGGGGGGUUGAUCCGUGGUGUCCGCUGCCCCGAGGCAUUGGGCUUUGCUCCAGGCGGGCCCAGCGCUCUGCGCGUGAGGAUGGGGCCAGACGCCGCUGCCCUGCUCCGGGGCAAAUCCACGGGCAGAAAACGGGGAGCAAGAAAAGCUGCGCACUUGAUCUGAUGCCAAGCCAUGCCAGCGAACAAUUUCGCUGUGUCGCUCAUCUCCCUGGAGAACAUCUGCCCAAACUUCAUUGGACACGCUAAGAAAGCAGACAAGACUCCAGAAAAACCUGCGGCCAAGACUCCUGAGAAGACUCCAACCAAGAACCCUUCAAAAAGUCCAACCAAGAGUCUUUCAAAACGUCCAGCAAAGUCUCCUCAAAGAAGUCCUUCUAAAUCAAUAUGAUCACUAUUUACAAUAUAACUACAUUAAUGUAGCUAUUUUACUCAUCUAUAAUUGAUUGAGUACAAAAUUCUGGGUUAUUUUUGGUGAAAAUAGGGUAUCAGACCUUGGUUCAGAAACCAAUCCUCCAUUUAUAAUAUUGUUUCCAAUGGGAAAAUCGGUUCCGAGUUACAUUUUAACUUAAGAUGUGGUUUUCAGGAACCAAUUGUGUCGUAAGUCUGAGGACUGCUUGUGUUCUAAUAUUAUAAAAGCCUAAGUCUGUC
Long non-coding RNA from Alligator mississippiensis (American alligator), 687 nucleotides. RefSeq lists it as uncharacterized. The transcript is spliced from 2 exons. Lineage: Eukaryota; Metazoa; Chordata; Crocodylia; Alligatoridae. The record is from RefSeq and is a predicted model, not a curated record.